AUUGUGGUGCCGGCGAGAGCAACGUCCCCUUUGUGAUUCUUCGUGGCUUAGUGUGUGCGUGAUCGAGAGGAAGAGAGCUGUACCUGAGCCGAGAAGAUCGACGCCCCUUGUUCCUUUCUUUGUGUGUUUUUCCUUGCAGGUUGUCGAGUCUGCUGCUACCUCGUUGCUGCGCCGCUGUUGCUGCUGCGUUGUUGCCGGAGGACAGCCGCCGCUGCUGCUGCCCCUGCCGCCGCCGUCCCUGCUGCUGUUCCGCCGCUGUGUUGCCGCUGCUUUGCUGCCCCGGAGAAGGAAGCCUUCAACAACGACGACGAGGGUCGAUACUCAACAGUGGUAUCAGAGCCACGGUUGACCUCGUCGUCGCAUUGGUAAGUCGGGGUCCUGACCUUAGGAUCCCGCUCUGGUAAAGCGGCUUAAACCUCUCUUGUUUUUCAAUUUCUAGUUGUUGCCAUCUGGUGCAGUUUAGGCUUGGUGCUUAUCUGCUGGUAGAUAUCUAGGAUUCGUGUGUCGAAUUCUGUUUUCUGUUUUUUUUUUUUUCUCGCUGUUACUAUUCACGUGAAUAGUGAUUUCAUGAAUAGUGUUUUUGGUCUCUUAUUUUUACUUCCGCUAUAAACUCUGUGGUUGUCAAUCUUUGUGAGUCUUUGUGAUUAUUUGCUUCGUGUUGCGAUGUCUUCUUUGGCAAAUUAUGGUUUAGCUCCUUUUAAUGGUAAAACGGACUUCGGUUUUUGGCAGCAGAAAAUGGAAUGUAUUUUAAUUCAACAAAAUGUUUAUCAAGUAAUUGAUGAUUCGUAUGAUGAAGAUGUUGAUGAGAAAAAGAAAACUCAAUUAAAUCGUCUUGCCUUGUCUGCUAUUGUUCUCAACUUGUCUGAGUGUGUUCUUAGAAAAGUAGGGAGAAUGACUUCUGCUAAAGAACUAUGGUCUAAGUUAGAGGAGUUGUACACUGGAACCUCGUUGCCGUCUAAGAUAUUUUUGAUUGAAAGGUUUUUCCGUUUCAAACUUGAUUUGAAUAAGAAAAUUGAUGAAAAUGUUGAUGAAUUCACUAAGUUAGUUCAAGAUAUAAAACUGACGGGUGAUAAACAUAUUGAUGAGUAUGCUCCGUAUGCUCUUUUAAAUGCUAUUCCUGACUCUUACAGUGAUGUUAAAUCUGCUAUUAAGUAUGGUAGAGAUAAUGUGACGCUUGACACUGUUGUGAGUGCUUUAAAGAAUAAGGAAUUAGAUUUAAAUUCUAAUAUUUGUGUUCAAGAACCGGACAAAGUCAUGCAUGUUAGGGGUGAAAAGAGAUUUAAUGAUAAGUCUAAUCAUAGAUAUAAGCCUAGGAAGUGCUAUAACUGUGGUGAAACUGGUCACUAUAUUAAGGAUUGUCCUCACCCUAAGAAAAAACAAGAUGUAGAGCAUGCUAAUGUAAUUGGUAAUGAAACCAAUAGUGAUGUGUUCUAAGGUGGAGCUCUUUCUUAAUGCCUUAGUGUUGUUCUUUGUGAUUGUUUAGGCUUUGUGGCUUUGUGAGACUUCGGUGGUUAGUGCCUUAAUGACUAUGUGAGUCUUUGUGGCUUAGUGUCUUUGUGAUUGAUUAGUAGCUUUGUGUCUAUGUGGCUUUGUGAGUUUUACUUUGUGAUGACCGUUUGUGUCGCAUGUUAUCUUCGUGAUCAUGUGUACUUUGUGAUCUGUGCUAGCUCUUUGUGGCUCUUUGUGCUAGACUAACUUUGUGUUAGUGUGCUUCGUGCUUGGUGGCUGUCUUCUCUUGUUUGUGUUUUGCAGGAAUUGACUUGGUUAGUUUACCCGUUGACCUUUGUGGUCUUGUGUUUCCCUGUUAUUUCUUUGUGAUUUAACAGGGGGCUCGGCGAUGAUGAUUAUGGUACAGCUUCCUCUUUGAUGCACACAAUACCGUGAUUGGGCCAAAGGUGGAGAUACUGUUAAUUGGACAAAUAUCUGAACAAAAAAGCAAAAAAAAUAACAACAUUAUUUUGGCAGCCCUCCCAUUUCCCCUCCAGUCGAAAUUAGUGCCCUUUUGGGGCUGUGACCCCUGCGCUUCUUCUCCCCCAUGAACCUCUUCACCUUCCUUCUCUAGAUCCUUCUAUGGUAGGCUAUUUAAAGAGCCCUUGGUCUGUGGCUGUAGUAGGAGACGAAAAUUGCUUAGUGUUCUUCCUUUGUGUGGAGGUGCUACCGGUGAAGGUGUAAGGCUUGUUGGCCGAUUGUGGUGCCGGCGAGAGCAACGUCCCCUUUGUGAUUCUUCGUGGCUUAGUGUGUGCGUGAUCGAGAGGAAGAGAGCUGUACCUGAGCCGAGAAGAUCGACGCCCCUUGUUCCUCUCUUUGUGUGUUUUUCCUUGCAGGUUGUCGAGGCUGCUGCUACCUCGUUGCUGCGCCGCUGUUGCUGCUGCGUUGUUGCCGGAGGACAGCCGCCGCUGCUGCUGCCCCUGCCGCCGCCGUCCCUGCUGCUGUUCCGCCGCUGUGUUGCCGCUGCUUUGCUGCCCCGGAGAAGGAAGCCUUCAACAACGACGACGAGGGUCGAUACUCAACAG
This 2513-nucleotide long non-coding RNA is filed under the name Salvia miltiorrhiza (redroot sage). RNAcentral describes it as "long non-coding RNA (SMIL_LNC011215)". Lineage: Eukaryota; Viridiplantae; Streptophyta; Magnoliopsida; Lamiales; Lamiaceae. The record is from RNAcentral.